This 27379-nucleotide long non-coding RNA is filed under the name Volvox carteri. RNAcentral's name for it is "long non-coding RNA (VCAR_LNC001977)". Lineage: Eukaryota; Viridiplantae; Chlorophyta; Chlorophyceae; Chlamydomonadales; Volvocaceae. The record is from RNAcentral.
UGAUGUUGAUGUUGUUACAGGGUGGUUAAGCUUCACCAGUGGCCUCCUUCCCGAGGCAAUUCCCUGCUCUCCCCUGCUAGAGGGGCACCCUAAGCCAUUCACCCCAUCCGACUUCAGAGUGUACUCUUUGAGUUUGGCAACUCACCACCAGCAUCCAACCAAAUCUAGCGGAUCAACGGCGCGUCAACUUAGUUCCUGGUCGGCUCGCGAGUUGAUUUUAUCACGUCCUACACCGUCCACAAGAUGGGGGGCCACCUCCCAUUUCAUCACCUCUCAAACACCCCGAGAGGUCGGCAGGCGGAUUUGAACCCAGACGCGCCGGGACGCGUCGGGAGCAGAAGCCAGGCCUUAACCUCUGCCGUUGUUGUAUGCCACGAAUGCUACCUGCCGCGGAACACCUGGCCCCCUAGCUGAUCCACCGGAUCCUGGCUUGCUGCCGCUAGCUCCGCUGCCACUGUUGUUGUAGCCACCCUUAUAUCCAGAAAUUGACGACUGCUUGAGCGCUUUAAGCUGCCUGCAGUUCUUUAUCACAUGCCCAGGCUUAUUACAGUAGUAGGCCCCGUACCUACAUUAACCCUAUCUAUUCUAGGGACAGCGAUUCAGACGACGAAAUCAUGCAGAACCUUUACCCCACCCUCGACCCGUUCCAGCACAACGGGUUGGAUGACUUCCUCACUAAGGUUUUCCAGCAAGGAGUUGCCUACCCUCUCACUAGGAACAACUUAUCUGUUGAGAGCCUCAAAUCGUACCUUGACGCACUGCCUGGUCGUAACACGCCAUUCGAGGCGUUAGGGUUUUAGGGUUUUAAACCCUAAAACCCUACAACUCCCACACACAUGACCUCAUAGCCAAAGCUGCAUCGCACUUCAGAGUAGCUGAACCAGGUUCGGCGGCCAACGCCAUCUCUCCCCGCCAACUAUACGACUACUACGCCCACAUUUUAGAGGAAAACUUUGCCUCCGCGCGCGCGGAAAGUGAUCUAGCGCGCUUCAAAAGCAUUCAGCAGGGAGCUCUUUCUCCGAUAGUCCUUAGGGAUAUGCUGUUAGCGCUUGAGAAGAAGCUAGACGGCAGAGUGAGCAAACACCAGGUCGCGGAACGCUUUCUUGAGGGCUUAAAUCCCAUGGUUCGGCAUCACCUGGAAAGGCACCUCAUUACCGUGGGCGUACCAAGUGGUACGAUCGCUUGGAGAAGACGGCACAAGAGGCUGAGGUUGUGUGAAACAACCUUCCGUUGGAGGACAGAGCAGUGCAGGUACACAAAAAGUCGCCGCAGCAGAAGAGUGUAGCAAAACCGCCUAUCAAGGAAAAACGCACCUUCUACUGCGAGAAGCACGGCACCAAUGCAUCUCACGAUACGGCGCAGUGCCGUGUCUUAAAUCCCCCAAAGACGAAGUCGGCGCUUUUGACCUCUGACAUCCCCUCCGGUAUUGUUGAGCGUUUGAUUGCCUUGAUUUCUCAGGGACAGGGCAGCGCGUCGACUUCAGGGGGGUCCAGGGGAAUGGGCGGGCAAAAGCUCAAGGGGGCUGGGCCAUCUAAGCCCAAGCAGGGACAGGGUGCUAGCGAAUCGCGGGGGAAUAGGCCAUCUUGCGAGUUCUGCGGAACCAUGGGUCACCAGCAGAGCAAGUGCUUCGUUUUCCACCCCGAGCUCGCUCCCGCGGACUACGAGCCUGCUAACCCUGCCCUGAAGGUUUUUUUUCUGCAGCGCAAGAAGGCGGUUGAAAGAAAGGCGGCCUUGGCGGCGGCUGUUGCCGCAGCUUUCGAGGACGACUUCGCAGCAGACGACGAGGGGAAUGAGGAGGCGGCCUGCUGCACGACGCAGUUCCAUGAAGCAGCGUCGAACGCCUCUCCCAGCCAGCAGGCCAGGAUGGCGCCGCUCACAUGGACGCGCAGCGCACAAGAGGUAAGGUACAACAGCUUAGCCACUAUGCAUUCGCAGGCUGUUCCUAAGUCCUUCACUCCCGCCCCUUCAGUCAUAAAGCAAUAUCCGCCACCGACACCACCCGUGGCGAACAACUCAAAACGCACUCACACACCGCUAGAUGACAAUCUUCUCUUGCGUAAAAUUUCCGACAUGCCUGUCGGCACUUUCUUUAACCUGCUUUGCCAACAGGGUUGCCUUCCACCGGCGGCCCCCUAGACGCUAAACCCCAUCCCUCAAGUACGGUCCAUGCAACGCAGGGUUCCAGCUCAGUUUCGAGCAGCUUUGGGGAGGGAUCUUUCACACCUUAGGCCGACAAGAGUGUGCAGCGCGCCAUUGUUCCGGCGGCAGCACCGGAGCUGGUCACGCCAUCUCCACUUGAUUCUGGCCUGGCGUCUUCUGCCCUGGCGGCCCAAGGGCGCGCCAAACCCUCCGACCACCUUGGCGCCGGUUUUGAGUAACAGGUAAGUGGGGUUAGUUCCGCGCACUUUGUUGGAGCUCUCGCCUGAUGAGCAGGAGCAGGCUUUAGCUGUUAAUCCGUCGGCGGCGCGUUACAUGGGGGAGCCCGAGGGCCUUUACUACUACGAAACGGGGGCGUGUGGAUUGGUUCAGGGGCAGGGUUUUAGGGACGACAGGGCAGCUCCGGAGGCGUUGCGUGAUUUUGCCGCAACGGUAAACGUAAUGCCAAACAGUUCGGUUCCACUUUCCUUUUCCUUCUUACGUAUGCCACUUUCUUUGUGGACGCAUUUAACGUGUGUCUUGUUAGCCCCGUUCUCACGGCGGCUGAUGCCAUCCUUUCGCAUACGGCAAACAAUUUAAUAAAUCACGCGUGCCUUGCCACACGACCCAUGCCUCUUCGCGCCACCCAGGAAAGCGAAAGAAGCCACUGUAUAGGCGUAGGUGUUUGUUAGGUAAACCCGCAUUACAGCCACGUAGCGACUGGCACUUUGCUUCGUUUGCUCUCGUUGCGUCCCUGUUGCUAACUCUAGCCGCAGGAGUGCAGGUGCCAACUGGGAUCAGCAGCUGGCUUACAUCAUGUUGGGUUACAACUGUUCGAAGCAGCAGUCUACUGGUUUCAGCCCAUACAGUCUGCUCCACGGAGUUCAGCCUACAAUAUCACCCGCGGUGAAGCAGCGCUUUGAGGAUGACAUCUCCUUCGAUUCGCUGGAGGAGGCUUUUGAUGCUCUCCUUAAGCGUGGCGAGGCUAUGCGUCGUAGCAUGAGUAUUGCAGGGGAAAAUUUACUUAUCGCCCAGCACAGGGAUACGUUACGAUAUGCAGCUUUGCGUGGUGGGGGUAACCAUCCUAGGUGGUGCAGGUUUGAUGUAGGGAAUUACGUUUAUUAUCGUAAUACUGUUGAGGAAACGGUCCUCUCCCAACUCGUGAGGUUGUCGACCAGGGGAUUUGACCCCGGGUCUGCGCCUGUCUAAUGGGGAAGACUUACCCCAGAACCUUAUGGGGCUACCGAUGCAUAUCCGGUAGCUAAGUGAUAGACAUUAGGGCACCGUCUGGACGACGCAGUGAGAUCGCGGAAUGUACGUGCAGUUAGAUCGCGGAAUGUACGAGUUUUCCGCUAGCGCCGGUAUUUAGGGCGGUGACUGCGCUUAUUUGUUUAUCUCACAACGAUCGGUAUUCCUACCAGGAAUCUCCUCAAGUCCUGCCGAACGCUAACAAUACUCUUUACAUUACUUGUAACAGUUUAUCGUGCUAAAUAUCUUCGUCACCGGCAAUCCUUCCGAAAUAACAAUCAGCGUUAGCCGUCACCGUCGCCAAUUCUUCAAUAGGUUAUGAGCCCCGUUUAGCGCCGACAGUUAUCGCCCCAUUGUUAUUUCUAUCCCUCAUCAACAAUGGUUAAGGACAAGCUUGAUGAGUCGCUGGAUCUCAACAACUACUCUACCUGGCAAAUUCGGUUCAGCGCGUUGUGCAUGGAGCUUGGGCUUGAGCAAUCCCUGCUCGCCGAGCCGUGCAACGAGGAGCAAAUUCGGCAGUCACGGAAGGUCAUCAAUCUGCUCAUCAAGAACGUCAAGGAUCAUCAUUUGCCGAUGGUUACCGGUGCUGCCAACGCGAAGAAGGCCUGGGACGCCUUGGGAUCUAUGUUUGCUGCCAACAACAACGCCCGCAAGGUGUCUCUACGUCAAGAAUUCAGCCGUUUUAAGAUGGUCGACGGCGAACCUCUUCCGAUGUACUUUGCGCGUGCAAGGCAGCUGCAAACAGAUUUAUUGGGAGUCGGCCACGUAGUUAACGACUCCGAGCUGGCGUACACCGUGCUAGUUGGUCUACCCAGUCGGUACAGCGUGGUGACGACUACAUUACUUAUGCGCGACGGCGAUUUGGACAUGGCGAGCGUCACAGCAAAGCUUCUCUCUAUCGAGACGGCUAACGGUGGGUCGGGCAAGCCUACCGAGUCGGCAGCCUUCGCGUCUGUUGGCGGUUCGACGUUCGGCGCUUCUACUUCUGGUUAUGGUAGCCGGGGGCCGGCUAACAACAGCUCGGGACAUAGUCGGAAGCAAGUCAUCUGCUACUACUGUAAUAAACCUGGGCACGUGGUUAAGGACUGCAGACAGCUUAAGGCGCUGAAGCAGUCGUCAAAUUCUGGCUACAAGGGUGGCUACAGCAACAGUGGUAACGGAGGUAGUGGCAGCGGAGCUAGCGGCAGCAAGCCAGGAUCCGGUGGAUCAGCUAGGAGGCCAGGAGUUCCGCGGCAGGUAGCAUUCGUGGCAUACAACAGCAAUCGUCCGACGGAAUGGUUUCUGGACUCAGCCGCCACUCACCACAUAACUUAUGACCGCUCAGAACUUUUCAACAUGCGGUUGUUGGAGCCGUGGGAGCGCUUCAACAUCAUGGGCAUCAAGGGACAAUCUCUUCGACCGACUGAAGUUGGCACGCUCACGAUUCGGUCUAACGUCAACGAUAAACAGGCCAUCACUUUCAAGAAGGUCUACGUCGACGAGGAGGCCACCGCCAAAAUCAUAUCGGUACGCAUCAUUGAUGAUCGUGGAGGCAGUGUGGUCUUCGAUGGCGGACAGGCGAAAGUAUACGUACAGAACCAGUUGGUGCUGACUGGAAAGCGGGAUGGGGACUUGUAUCCCGUCUGCUACAGCAGUGGAGGUACGGGAGCUCUGAAGAGGACGCAGCAUGAUGACAACAGGAUACCUUCUGGUGGUGAUGCAGUGUGUGCUGCCGUGGGUAUCGGAGCUGAACGUGCAGCACUUUGGCACCGAAGGUAUGGCCACUUGGGAUACAGCAACCUUGAGACGUUGCUGCGUCAUAAUAUGGUAGCUGGAUUUGAUGUUGACCGACACAGCAUACAAUCAGCCAGCACGUGUGUGUGUGAGACUUGCGUCCUUGCUAAACAUACACGUGGUCCUUUUCCGUUAUCUGGGCAAAAGGCAGCGCAGCCUCUCGCGCUAAUUCACAUGGAUGUGUGUGGGCCUAUGCCUGAACCUUCACCUAGUGGUUCACGUUACGUGACAACUCUGCUUGACGAUCAUACUGGUCUUUCAGCUGUUGCGUUUACAGCGACCAAGGAGGAGGUCUACCAGAAGAUGGUGGUAAUGAUAGCGGAACUGGAGCGCGCUACUGGCAGGCAGGUUAAGGAGGUGCGUACAGAUCGUGGCGGGGAGUUCGUUAAUAUUCGCACGAAGGCCUAUUUCGCUUCCAGGGGUAUUCUACACGGAACUACGGUAGGCUACACCCCUGAGCAGAACGGAGCUGCAGAACGUUUAAAUCGCACUCUUUUGGACAAGACUAGGGCUAUGCUAGUUGAGUCUGGACUGCCUAAAUCAUUAUGGGCGGAGGCGUUAGCGACAGCCAACUAUCUUAGGAAUGUGUCGCCAACUGCUGGGUCAACCGUCACUCCGUACGAAGCUUUCUUUAACGUUCGUCCGAACGUCAGUCACCUGCGAGUCUUUGGAUGCGUUGCCUACGUCCACGUACCCGAUGUCAAGCGCGACAAGUUCGACCCGGUGAGCAGGCGUGGAAUACUUGUCGGAUACGGGAACGGUGGACAGUAUCGUGUACUAUACGAGGACGGCAUUAUUGCCGUAGUUUCUAACGUUCGUUUUGACGAGUCUAAUGUCGGCCGGCGGCGUAAUGCCGGGGACUCCGAUUAUGAGUCCGAUGCCGACGAGGAGGAGGAGUUUCGCACUAGUUUAUCUGGUGAGGGAUCGCUGCCUAGGGCUGGCGAAGGGACACCAGGUAGCACCGUCGGCGAGGGAUCGCCGCAUUUGGGUGGCGAGGGGGCGCCGGCUGGGGCUGGACCUUCCAGCAGUGCGAACGGGCAAGGAAUCAAUCAGCCUGAUGUGGAAAUGGCGGGAACUAGGUACCCAGUUAGAGAGCGUAAACGCCCUGGCGAAUGGUGGCGAAACGAACCUGGUCGCACUGUCACUGGUCGCGUUAACGCUGCUUUCUCUGCUGGUAUUCCUGAGCCUAAUUCGUUUGAGGAAGCAAUUGCUAGUCCACAUGCAGACGACUGGAGGCGUGCGAUGGACGAGGAGAUCGCCGCCCAGAUGGCUAACAGUACUUGGGAGCUGAAGACGCCACCUCCUGGUACUCGUUUGUUGCCGUGUCGUUGGGUAUAUAAGGUUAAGUACAGCGAUGACGGCAGUGUGGAGCGUUUUAAGGCGCGUUUAGUUGCCAAGGGUUUCGAGCAACGUGAGGAGAUUGAUUAUGGGGAGUUGUUUGCCCCUACCUCUCGUGGUUCGUCAUUGCGUGCUUUAUUAGCAGUUGCCGCAGCCCGGAACAUGACAGUACAUCAGCUCGAUGUGUCUACUGCGUUUCUGAAUGGUGAGCUGAAGGAGGAGUUGUGGAUGGAGCAACCGCCUGGGUAUGCAUCCAGUCUGGUCUGGGUUGACACUACUGCGAUUCGCGGUUUAAGGUCCUGGGUUCGAUUCCUGGGGAGACCCCCGAAUUAGUCGGGAGCGCGAGAUUAUGGCUAGCUGCUGAAAUGUGGAGUUGAGGUCGCAGUUGAUGGACCAGAUUCGCACGCUAGAUUGGUGGCGAUUGCCGAACCCUCCGUCUCUUCGGGUGUUCGGGUGAAUGGAUGAGGAGGGGUCCUAGACGGCUGGACCCGCCGCCUUGGACUUACAGUUCGUAUGGCGAAGUAUAGUGUGGUAGUGGUGGACGGUGCUAUAAGAUGAUACAUCGUAGAACUGACAAUGUGAUAAAACGGCCCAGAAGCCCCCCACUCUGUAACAUUACAUUACAUUGCAUCCAGUGACCGGUCGCUUGCGUGCAAGCUGCAGAAGUCUAUUUACGGUUUAAAGCAGGCACCCCGUUGCUGGUAUGAAAAACUAUCAGCAGGGUUCGCCAAGUUGGGUCUUUAUCCUUCGAAGUCUGAUCCGGCGAUGUUUGUUAAGACGGACGAGCGUGGGGUUGUUAUUGCUUUGGUGCACGUAGAUGAUACAAUUGUUGCGUCGGAAGACCCGGAAAUGGUCCGGGCAAUUAAAACCGCAAUUGCGAAGGUCUUCAAGGUGCGCGACCUUGGAGAAGCGAAGGUGUUUUUGGGCAUGGAAAUUAGGAGGGAGAAGUCGGGUGAGAUAGUGUUGUCGCAGCAUAGGUAUAUUGCGCAGCUGUUGGAGCGUCAUAGGAUGAUUGACGCCAAGCCGAGGUCUACCCCUUUGCCUCCGGGCUUUAGGUACACUCCUAAGGGGGACGAAGAGGAGCUGCUGGGCAAUCCCACCGAGUAUAGGGCUUUGGUGGGAGAAUUGAACUAUCUGGCGACGAACACGCGGCCUGACAUUUCAUAUGCAUUGAGCGUUUUGUCCCGGCAUAUGGCCGCACCCACGAAGUGUGCCAUGAACCUGGCAACUGGCGUUCUGCGUUACCUGGCGGGGACUCGCGAACUAGGAUUGCGUUUUGGGGGUGUUGGCGACGUUGCUAUGUCCGGGUACAGUGAUUCUGACUGGGCAGGAGACCCAGUUACGCGGCGUUCUACGUCCGGUUACGUUUUCACUCUUAAUGGGGCUGCGAUUAGCUGGAGCAGCCAACUCAACGUACUGUGGCGGCUUCAUCGGUGGAGGCCGAGUAUCAAGCGACAGCGGCAGCUGUUCGUGAGGCUUUGUGGCUUCGCUUGUGGUUGAUUUGGGUUUGCCUGAGAGCGCUAUCAAGAUCCAAAUAGAUUCCCAAGGGGCGCUUAGCUUAGGAAAUAACCCGAUUACGUCUGCUCGGUCGAAGCACAUCGACGUGCAGCAUCACAUAGUGCGUGAAAGGGUGAAUAGCGGUGAGGUGCAGUUGGAGUACUGCCCUACGGAGUGGAUGGUUGCGGAUGUACUAACGAAGGCUCUGGGCGAGGUGAAGUUCAAACGUUGCCGAGAUGCUAUGGGCCUUGUCUGAAGUGUGCAGAUGAACUUGGUACUCGUUGGGAUACGGCCCGAGGGGGCGUGUUAAGGAAACGGUCCUCUCCCAACUCGUGUGGUUGUCGACCAGGGGAUUUGACCCCGGGUCUACGCCUGACUAAUGGGGAAGACUUACCCCAGAACCUUAUGGGGCUACCGAUGCAUAUCCGGUAGCUAAGUGAUAGACAUUAGGGCACCGUCUGGACGGCGCAGUGAGAUCGCGGAAUGUACGUGCAGUUAGAUCGCGGAAUGUACGAGUUUUCCGCUAGCGCCGGUAUUUAGGACGGUGACUGCGCCUAUUAGUUUAUCUCACAACGAUCGGUAUUCCUACUAGGAAUCUCCUCAAGUCCUGCCGAACGUUAACAAUACUCUUUACAUUACUUGUAACAGUUUAUCGUGCUAAAUAUCUUCGCCACCGGCAAUCCUUCCGAAAUAACAAUCAGCGUUAGCCGUCACCGUCGCCAAUUCUUCAAUACUAGUUCGCGUACGGCGUUAGAUCAUAAGGUUCAACCUGCCGUACUUCGCGUUAGUGAGGUGCGUCCCAGCGGCGUACUUGUUCUGCAAGGUCNNNNNNNNNNNNNNNNNNNNNNNNNNNNNNNNNNNNNNNNNNNNNNNNNNAGAUGGCUAACAGUACUUGGGAGCUGAAGACGCCACCUCCUGGUACUCGUUUGUUGCCGUGUCGUUGGGUAUAUAAGGUUAAGUACAGCGAUGACGGCAGUGUGGAGCGUUUUAAGGCGCGUUUAGUUGCCAAGGGUUUCGAGCAACGUGAGGAGAUUGAUUAUGGGGAGUUGUUUGCCCCUACCUCUCGUGGUUCGUCAUUGCGUGCUUUAUUAGCAGUUGCCGCAGCCCGGAACAUGACAGUACAUCAGCUCGAUGUGUCUACUGCGUUUCUGAAUGGUGAGCUGAAGGAGGAGUUGUGGAUGGAGCAACCGCCUGGGUAUGCAUCCAGUCUGGUCUGGGUUGACACUACUGCGAUUCGCGGUUUAAGGUCCUGGGUUCGAUUCCUGGGGAGACCCCCGAAUUAGUCGGGAGCGCGAGAUUAUGGCUAGCUGCUGAAAUGUGGAGUUGAGGUCGCAGUUGAUGGACCAGAUUCGCACGCUAGAUUGGUGGCGAUUGCCGAACCCUCCGUCUCUUCGGGUGUUCGGGUGAAUGGAUGAGGAGGGGUCCUAGACGGCUGGACCCGCCGCCUUGGACUUACAGUUCGUAUGGCGAAGUAUAGUGUGGUAGUGGUGGACGGUGCUAUAAGAUGAUACAUCGUAGAACUGACAAUGUGAUAAAACGGCCCAGAAGCCCCCCACUCUGUAACAUUACAUUACAUUGCAUCCAGUGACCGGUCGCUUGCGUGCAAGCUGCAGAAGUCUAUUUACGGUUUAAAGCAGGCACCCCGUUGCUGGUAUGAAAAACUAUCAGCAGGGUUCGCCAAGUUGGGUCUUUAUCCUUCGAAGUCUGAUCCGGCGAUGUUUGUUAAGACGGACGAGCGUGGGGUUGUUAUUGCUUUGGUGCACGUAGAUGAUACAAUUGUUGCGUCGGAAGACCCGGAAAUGGUCCGGGCAAUUAAAACCGCAAUUGCGAAGGUCUUCAAGGUGCGCGACCUUGGAGAAGCGAAGGUGUUUUUGGGCAUGGAAAUUAGGAGGGAGAAGUCGGGUGAGAUAGUGUUGUCGCAGCAUAGGUAUAUUGCGCAGCUGUUGGAGCGUCAUAGGAUGAUUGACGCCAAGCCGAGGUCUACCCCUUUGCCUCCGGGCUUUAGGUACACUCCUAAGGGGGACGAAGAGGAGCUGCUGGGCAAUCCCACCGAGUAUAGGGCUUUGGUGGGAGAAUUGAACUAUCUGGCGACGAACACGCGGCCUGACAUUUCAUAUGCAUUGAGCGUUUUGUCCCGGCAUAUGGCCGCACCCACGAAGUGUGCCAUGAACCUGGCAACUGGCGUUCUGCGUUACCUGGCGGGGACUCGCGAACUAGGAUUGCGUUUUGGGGGUGUUGGCGACGUUGCUAUGUCCGGGUACAGUGAUUCUGACUGGGCAGGAGACCCAGUUACGCGGCGUUCUACGUCCGGUUACGUUUUCACUCUUAAUGGGGCUGCGAUUAGCUGGAGCAGCCAACUCAACGUACUGUGGCGGCUUCAUCGGUGGAGGCCGAGUAUCAAGCGACAGCGGCAGCUGUUCGUGAGGCUUUGUGGCUUCGCUUGUGGUUGAUUUGGGUUUGCCUGAGAGCGCUAUCAAGAUCCAAAUAGAUUCCCAAGGGGCGCUUAGCUUAGGAAAUAACCCGAUUACGUCUGCUCGGUCGAAGCACAUCGACGUGCAGCAUCACAUAGUGCGUGAAAGGGUGAAUAGCGGUGAGGUGCAGUUGGAGUACUGCCCUACGGAGUGGAUGGUUGCGGAUGUACUAACGAAGGCUCUGGGCGAGGUGAAGUUCAAACGUUGCCGAGAUGCUAUGGGCCUUGUCUGAAGUGUGCAGAUGAACUUGGUACUCGUUGGGAUACGGCCCGAGGGGGCGUGUUAAGGAAACGGUCCUCUCCCAACUCGUGUGGUUGUCGACCAGGGGAUUUGACCCCGGGUCUACGCCUGACUAAUGGGGAAGACUUACCCCAGAACCUUAUGGGGCUACCGAUGCAUAUCCGGUAGCUAAGUGAUAGACAUUAGGGCACCGUCUGGACGGCGCAGUGAGAUCGCGGAAUGUACGUGCAGUUAGAUCGCGGAAUGUACGAGUUUUCCGCUAGCGCCGGUAUUUAGGACGGUGACUGCGCCUAUUAGUUUAUCUCACAACGAUCGGUAUUCCUACUAGGAAUCUCCUCAAGUCCUGCCGAACGUUAACAAUACUCUUUACAUUACUUGUAACAGUUUAUCGUGCUAAAUAUCUUCGCCACCGGCAAUCCUUCCGAAAUAACAAUCAGCGUUAGCCGUCACCGUCGCCAAUUCUUCAAUACUAGUUCGCGUACGGCGUUAGAUCAUAAGGUUCAACCUGCCGUACUUCGCGUUAGUGAGGUGCGUCCCAGCGGCGUACUUGUUCUGCAAGGUCAAGACGGUCAAACCAUGCAAACGCAUUUUGAUGCACUGUGCACCUUGUCAUUUGCCCAUUUUAGACGAGGCUAUCGAUCCUCGCUUGUCCCGACCUCAUGCUAAUUUGUCCUGUGAGGUUUGCAAAAUGCCUGAUGCUUCUCUGUGAUAAGUGUGGGACGGGUUGGCACACUUAUUGCCUUAAGCCGCCUCUCAAACAAAUCCCUUGGGUGUGUCCUAAUUGUCUUUCUAAAGGCAUCACCGUAGCACAAAUAAACUCACGAUCUUUAGAUAACUCUGGUAGUAAUUCCAAUAAAUCGAGCACUAAGCCUGUUCCUCCGCAAUAUCUUGCCGAACUACAAGGGUCACGAGUAUUUGGAUCUAAUUCCGGACCCUCUGGCAGUCGUGCCGCGAGAACCGGUGUCGCUACCUAUGCCGGUAAACGAGGCAGGAAGCAUUUCUUCGAGGUGCUUUAUCAGGACGGCGAAUUGGAGCUGGUGGAUGUUGUGCAGCUGCGCAAUAUGCUUGCACCUAAGUCUGCCCGCCCAGGGCGAGCGGUGGGAGUAGCAGCGGUUGCAGCAGCCGCAUUGAAGCUGGAGCACUGGAGUUUGGAUUCAGCCGCGGACGUUCCGAUGGCGCUGGAUCUGGCUAUGGCGGGAGACCACUCAGUAUUCAAGAUAGCUUUGGUCACCAAUCAAUUAUUCGAGCAACGUCUUCUACUUCCGUCCGUACCACAGCGGCAUGUCGACGUGUUGCGAGGAGCGUUGCGUUGGAGCUUACGUAAUUCUGCCUUACGAGGCGCGCGCGUCUUAAAGGAAAGCCGGUAAAAUUCAGUGAUCCCUUGUCGCCUCAGUUUUACGAUGGCGUAGAUAAGCAGUUUACAUCUGUAGACGCAGCAGUGUUGUCAAUUACUGGAGCGUUGUUAGAUUUGGCAAUUCCAGCAGCGAUUAAGUUGGUUAAGGGCUUUGUGGUCGCUAGAGUUCCGGUUAAUCACAUAUCGGGUGCUGAUGAAGCGCGCAUGAAGUGGUUGCGCACUCUGCAGGAUAAGGAUUGUUUGUUGAUGUUGAGUUGUCCUUCCGUUGAGUCUGAGUACCAGUCUUUUAUCUGGCUGAUUGUGUUCACCAAUCCGGUUAUCAAGCGUGUGAUUUUGAAGGAUAGCAGCUUAGCUGAGCAAUUACUUUGAGGGUCCGCUUUCCACGGGCAUUCACCAUCUCGGCUUCGCCCGCUGGGGGGGGAGUCUGCCGUACGCACGUGUUUUGUUCGGUGCUACAGUCGCUACAGUAUGACGCGACAGCUGUCACGACAUUUUAGCGCCACGUUCAUUUUACCGUCUUUCAUAAUCGUCUUAGGUUAUUAUUGGUAUGAUUACGCGAAUUUCGCUAAUCGACUUCUGGACAAGACGCGAAUGUACGCUCGUUUGCGUAUGUUUAUGUAUUUUACUUGUACUGAAUUGUUCAUUUCUUGUGUGAAUGUUCUGUCACACGGUUAUAAGGUGUUUCACUUGUGUCAUUUGUGGACUAUACGUCGUGGUCGUACUCGAGGCUUAUCUUUUGAGGGCCUCCUGUGAUCGACAGUGUGACUUCGGUAUUUAUAGCCACAGCGAGCUUGGAAAAGUCGCUUUUUAUGGCUCUCUUAUGGCCUAUGCCCAUGCAGGAGGCAACGCCCAUCAACGCCCAUCAACGCCCAUAGCCUUCACGCCGGGCACACUCAGAAUGUGUGUGUGUGUGGUUGUUACAGUGGGCUCCAGACUCCCGAAGAGUAGAGCAAUCGGGCCAGCUGGCCGUGCACUGCAGUAGAGACUAAUAUACCAAUAGAGACCAUCACCUCAGAUAAUUAACCGCUCAUCGGUAACCGCUCCCUUGAUCACAGCAAUUUGCCAGAUAUAAUUCUCAAGAAGGGGUGAUGUGCGCCAACAGAAUCCCAACCUUUCCGUGGAAUUCCCAAAGCUGCGAAACCCUGAAUGCGGCCCCAAAAGUCAACAAUAACUCGACAAAUGGCUUCUUCCGAAAGGGAAGGGCCAGGUAACAGUGCCGGGUUGGUUUUCAUGUUUGCAGUGUUGAAGGGCGGUCCUAUCCCAAGAUAGGUAGUUAGGCGAUGAAUCCGCCGUGAUAGGCGAUGCCUCGGACAUGCCUCGACCUUGCCUCGGCCGUGCCUCGACCUUGCCUCGGGUCUCUCGGCCGCGUAUCUUGGACGUGUCCUCAGGUCCAGGGAUGGUGGACGACUGUACGAUACUUCCGUUGGUAUCGGUACAUAAGGCCAGAGUGGUGCAUGUCUUUCUAUCUCAUCUUCGGAUGGAUCGGUAUUCCUUCAUAGGAAUCUCCUAAAGUCUUCUUGCCGUUCACCACUAACCCACAGACUGUAACCCUUAUAUCGCGACCAGUCUACUUGCCUCCUUCAUAUUCUUAACAGGUUAUGAGUCCCGGCUCACGCUAGUAGCUUACAUAGCUAGCGUGAAGAAGGCAUAGGACGCCUGCAAGCAAUUACAGUCGGACUUGUUUGGGAGUGGGACACGUUAGCAGCGAUUCUGAGCGGGCACAGACUUUGCUUGUUGGUUUGCCCAGCCGCUUCAGCAUGGUAACGACAUCCCUACUGGUGCGUGACGGUGAUUCGGACGUGGCUAUCGUCAACUCGAUAUUUUUGACAAUCGAGAUGGCAAGCGAUGGCUCUGGUAAGCCUACCGAGUCGGCAGCUUUUGCUUCUGUCGGCAGUUUUUCGUUUGGCGCCUCUGGUUCUGGUCUUGAGAAUCGUAGCGCGGCCAGCAGCAGUUCUGGCGUUCCUCUCAAAGAGGUGAUUUGCUUCUAUCGCAGCAAGACUGGGCCCGGUGGGUCUAGCAAGGGAUCAGUUUUCCUGGAGCAGGUUGCGUUUGUAGCUUACAUCAGUAAGCGUCUGAGGGAUCCUGGCCGAAUAUGGGAAUGGAGGACAGUAUCGUGUUGUGCACGUCACCAAUGUCCGCCUUGAUGAGUUUAAUGUCGGCCGGCGGCACAAUGCCAGGGAUGCUGAUGAUGGGUCCGAUGCCGACGAGGGUUGCACACUAGGUUGCCUGGUGAGGGGUCGCUGCCUAGGGCUGGCGAAUGGACAUUAGGCAAUACCGUCAACACGGGAUCGCCGCAUCUGGGUGGCGAGGGGGCGCUGGCUGGGGCUGGACCUCCCAGAAGUUGUUAAGACCAGCAAAGCGCCGGACCCCCGUUGGGUCCUAUUACUGUGGCUACCAUUCACUGGUAUAUGAGUGUCGGUCAUUUCCAACACCCCCCCGUGAGCGACACUCUCUCGCUCCGGGCCUUCCCGUGCCUCAUCCCGGUCUCCCAUUCUCUGGGCAACAGCCAGUGGGUAUCGAUCCGGCGACCUCUCGGCAGCGCAAUGCGCCAUUCGGGGCUCAUAACCUGUUAAGACCAGCAAAGCGCCGGACCCCCGUUGGGUCCUAUUACUGUGGCUACCAUUCACUGGUAUAUGAGUGUCGGUCAUUUCCAACAGAAGUGUGAGUGUGCAAGGAAAUACACACAUGUGGAAAUGCUGGGUGCUCGGUAUUCAGUUAGGGAAUGCAAACGUCCUGGCGAGUGUUGAUGAAGUGUACCUGGUCGUAGUGCUACAAGCCGAGUCGUUGCUGCUGGGAUUCAGAACCUAACUUUUAUGCCGAUGGCAUCUCACGCCCACAUGCAGACGACUGGCGGCCGUGUACCGUGAACAUUUUGUAAUUGUAAUUGUAAUUGUAAUGUUACAGAGUGGGAGGCUUCUGGGCCGCUUUAUCACAUUGUCAGUUCUAGAUCAUUUAUCACCUUAUAGCACCUUCCACCACUACCACACUGUACUUCGCCAUACGAACUGUAAGUCCAAGGCGGCGGAUCCAGCAUCCAGGGACCCCUCCUCAUCCAUUCACCCGAACACCCGAAGAGACGGAGGGUUCGGCAAUCGCCACCAAUCCAGCGUGCGAAUCUGGUCCAUCAACUGUGACCUCAACUCCACAUCUCAGCAGCUAGCCAUAAUCUCGCGCUCCCGACUAAUUCGGGGGUCUCCCCAGGAAUCGAACCCAGGACCUUAAACCGCUAAUUGCAGUAGUGUCAACCCAGACCAGAACAUUUUGUAUCCAGUCGACCCAACCGGACAGCGUGGAUUGCAGCAGGCGAUCGUUUGCUACAACUACCAACAGACGGGCCGUAUAGCUCGGAGUUGCAGAGAGAUUAGCUGCCUAACGUGCAGGGAAGGAGUGGAGGUGGUCUUGGCACCCACACGUGGCAGGUGGGGUAGCAUGCCUCAACAGACAGGCGGUGGCGGCAGUGCAGUGAUGCCGUGUAUUUUUUUGCUGCAAGAUACGAACCACUAUGAAUUGUCUGUCUCCGAAGCGGCUAGUAUUGGAGUACCUGAGUCAGGGCCUUUGCCAGCGGCAAGCCACCGCAGGAGUUCAGAAGAAGAGGGCAGGGAAUAUGAGCAGAUAAUGUGGCCUUCGGAGUGGUGUAGUGGUGAUGCAGGAAGGAGGAUAGGAAGUCGCAUUCACUUGGCUGUCAUUGAUCCGAACCCUGCUGAGCUUUUGCUGAGUAUCGACCAGGGGAUUUGACCCCGGGUCUGUGCCUGACUAAUGGGGAAGACUUACCCCAGAACCUUAUGGGCUAAUAUCCGGUAGCUAAGAGAUAGACAUUGGGCACCGUCAGGACGGCGCAGUGAGAUCGCGGAAUGUACGUGCAGUUAGAUCGCGGAAUGUACGAGUUUUCCGCUAGCGCCGGUAUUUAGGGCGGUGACUGCGCUUAUUUGUUUAUCUCACUACGAUCGGUAUUCCUUAAAGGAAUCUCCUCAAGUCCUGCCGAACGCUAAUAAUACUCUUUACAUAACUUGUAACAUUUUAUCGUGCUAAAUAUCUUCGCCACCGGCAAUUCUUCCGAGAUAACAAUCAGCGUUGGCCGUCACCGUCGCCAAUUCUCCAAUAUACGAUAGGGGCACAGGGAUUUAGCGAGUGGGGCCUGCGGUUGGAGGUAUUGAUCCACUAUUUGAUGCCAAGCCUUGCGUAUUGCUAGGCCUGCCGUUGCAUUCAUAACUCCAUCCAAGGCCUCGCGCGCGCGAAGAACAUCCCCCAACGUAUGCAAUGCUUUACAGCCCAGGAGGGCUUGGUGUCGAAAUUCUAGUCCCGGGCGGAUGUUAUCUGACGGGACAUUCAACCUUUUUUCUGGAAGAACAGGGUUUCCCCACAAAGGCAAAUUCCAACACCACGCAUUAGGAACUAACGGGUGAUCAUCAACAUCUUCCACUGGGGGAAGGUAUGCCAACGCUGUCACAAUGCGCUGAACAUCUGGCGGUAAAACGAUUAAUCCAAACCAAGGCACUCCCACCUGGGACGUAAAAAUACACAUAGGAUUGUACUUGGGGUAAAGGCUACGCAGGAAAGAGUGCAUGACCAACACCCAUGGCGGACGCACUAAGACUGGUUGGAGUAAUGCUCUCACAAAACGCACUGCCCAGCACGCCCAUCGCGCUUGUACAUGUUCUCGAACUGCUAAUGCCCCAAAACCGCCCAAAGUUGGAUGGCCAUAUAACAAAUAUUUAGGAAUUCCGGUGAGUCGUCUGUCAUGUGCGACCGGUCCGAGGUUCAAAUCAAUAAGCUUGGCAGCUUUAGCCUCAAUAUUAAUGAGUUUUGCUUCUGGGGGAAAUCCCCCGUGUUCCAUAUGCCACGUAAAACGAUGCAACCCAUAGGCAGCCGCUGCAUGUGCACGCCCAAACAUGGAAUGGUUUAACACAGAAAUGCGUCGAGCCCAGACUUUGUCUAGUUGCACGUCCCAGUCCAUGACUGUGGUGUCCCCCACAUCCGUAAAAGGCAGAUUGAGAGCCGUUGCCCUGUGUACGACCUUCAUGUCAUGAUUUAUUGUGAUAUGAUGUGGGUGGGUGCCGAGAGGUAAAAGCUCAACCUUAUCCAGGUUAAGUUGCUGUCCAGAAGCCUGUGCGCGAGAUUAUGGCUAGCUGCUGAGAUGUGGAGUUGAGGUCACAGUUGAUGGACCAGAUUCGCACGCUGGAUUGGUGGCGAUUGCCGAACCCUCCGUCUCUUCGGGUGUUCGGGUGAAUGGAUGAGGAGGGGUCCCUGAAGGCUGGAUCCGCCGCCUUGGACUUACAGUUCGUAUGGCGAAGACAGUGUGGUAGUGGUGGAUGGUGCUAUAAGGUGAUAAAUGAUCGUAGAACUGACAAUGUGAUAAAGCGGCCCAGAAGCCUCCCACUCUGUAACACAUUACAUUACAUUACAUUACAGAAGCCUGUGCGUACACCCUCAUACAGUCAAGGAAAGCCGGAAUUGCCUGGAUUCUGUUAAGACCAGCAAAGCGCCGGACCCCCCUUGGGUCCUAUUACUGUGGCUACCAUUCACUGGGCGCAAUGCGCCAUUCGGGGCUCAUAACCUGUUAAGACCAGCAAAGCGCCGGACCCCCCUUGGGUCCUAUUACUGUGGCUACCAUUCACUGAGUGUCGGUCAUUUCCAACAGAUUCCUUCUAAAACAACUUCCGUAUCAUCAGCAAAUUGCACAGCAUUUCUGAAUUAUUUUGGGGUAAAUGAAUCCCCACUCGGUUGUACUGUAACCAACAAAGAAACGCCUGCGCGGCAAACAAGUACAGCAACGGUGCCAAUGGACAUCCCUGUCGCACAUCCGCUGUAAGAGCAACUUCACGGGAAAAAAAUCCAUUUACUAACGCUUUCGACGCUGUAUCGGAUAAAAGAAGCUUAGUCCAGCUAAUUAACCCUGCUCCUGCGCCCGUAGCAUCUAUUGCUUCAAAUAAAAAAUUACGAUCUAAGGAAUCGUAAGCUUUAGCAAUAUCCAAAAAAGCCAGGAGACACGACUGGCCUGUCGUCGACAUGAGUUGCGGUAGAUGCCAGAACAUGAGUUGCGGUAGAUGCCAGAACAUUUGCACCUAUCAAGCGCUCCGGCAGAAAAGCAGACUGCUCGAGCGUGAUAGAUAAUUCGCCCUAGUAUUGGACUCAGCCUACGGGUUACAAUUUUGGUGAGAAUCCUGUAAUCUGUAUUCAACAAGGUCAUAACUACCCGGGGAGGUGGGAGACCCCCGAUUUUUAUAAAUAACCGUGAUAGCACCUUGCAAAAAGCCAUCUGGGAGCAUUUGGGUUUGGCCCAUGGCUGUAUAAAGUUGAAAUGGUGCAAUCUCGUUCCGACACACCUUGUAUAAUUCAAUUGGGAUGCCAUGUAGACCGGGCGCUUUGCCUGGCGUCGCUUCCUUGAGCACCGUAUCCACUUCAGCGUCAGACACCUCCGGUCUUCCUACAUGACACGCAUACUCCUCCGGAAUGACAAGGUGGCGGUUCCGCAGCGCCCCUAUAACAGCCAUUCUAGCCUCUUCAGUCACUUGAGUUGGGGAGGAACAAAUCUCUCCCCAAAUAUCCGCAACCAUCUGUGGCAACUUCAUCGUGUCUGUAAUAAGACGACCCGUUCUAUCUUGCAACGCUGAAAUGACUUGUAGAGUCUUAGACGGGUGCACCAGCACCCUCUACUAGGCCGUUCACCCUCACGAAUCCACUGUAACCGAACCCGUUCCGCCUCCUGUGCACCUUCAGCUCUAGCCGCUUGUACAACCGUUACUUGGGCGUCAAUUGCCGCUUGGAUCCUCUGUGCACUCAUAUCUUCGGUCUGCACUUCUUCCAGUGCCCGUGUUGCAUGUUCUAUUGCCAAACGUACUUGCCAUCCCUUGGUACACCCACCGGGCCCAGGCUUGCUGCAAUAGAAGCAAAUCACCUCAUUGUGAGAAACGCCAGAACUGCUGCUGGCCGCGCCACCAUUCCCAAGACCAGAACCAGAGGCGCCAAACGAAAAAACUGCCGACAGAAGCAAAAGCUGCCGACAGAAGCAAAAGCUGCCGACAAACCAACAAGCAAAGUGUGUGCCCACUCAGAAUCGCUGAUAACGUGUCCUACUCCCAAACAAGUCCGACAGUCAUUGCUUGCAGGCGUCCUAUGCCUUCUCCGCGCUAGCAAUGUCUGCUACUGGCGUUAUCCAUGUUGAGGAAACGGUCCUCUCUCAACUCGUGUGGUUGUCGACCAGGGGAUUUCACCCCGGGUCUGCGUCUGACUAAUGGGGAAGACUUACCCCAGAACCUUAUGGGGCUACCGAUGGAUAUCCGGUAGCUAAGUGAUAGACAUUUGGGCACCGUCAGGACGGCGCAGUGAGAUCGCGGAAUGUACGUGCAGUUAGAUCGCGGAAUGUACGAGUUUUCCGCUUGCGCCGGUAUUUAGGGUGGUGACUGCGCUUAUUUGUUUAUCUGUUGAGGAAACGGUCCUCUCCCAACUCGUGUGGUUGUCGACCAGGGGAUUUGACCCCGGGUCUGCGUCUGACUAAUGGGGAAGACUUACCCCAGAACCUUAUGGGGCUACCGAUGCAUAUCCGGUAGCUUAGUGAUAGACAUUAGGGCACCGUCUGGACGGCGCAGUGAGAUCGCGGAAUGUACGUGUUUUCCGCUAGCGCCGGUAUUUAGGGCGGUGACUGCGCCUAUUAGUUUAUCUCACAACGAUCGGUAUUCCUACCAGGAAUCUCCUCAAGUCCUGCCGAACGCUAACAAUACUCUUUACAUUUCUUGUAACAGUUUAUCGUGCCAAAUAUCUUCGCCACCGGCAAUCCUUCCGAAAUAACAAUCAGCGUUAGCCGUCACCGUCGCCAAUUCUUCAAUAGGUUAUGAGCCCCGCUUAGCGCCGACAGUUAUCGCCCAAUUGUUAUUUCUAUCCCUCAUCAACAAUGGUUAAGGACAAGCUUGAUGAGUCGCUGGAUCUCAACAACUACUCUACCUGGCAAAUUCGGUUCAGCGCGUUGUGCAUGGAGCUUGGGCUUGAGCAAUCCCUGCUCGCCGAGCCGUGCAACGAGGAGCAAAUUCGGCAGUCACGGAAGGUCAUCAAUCUGCUCAUCAAGAACGUCAAGGAUCAUCAUUUGCCGAUGGUUACCGGUGCUGCCAACGCGAAGAAGGCCUGGGACGCCUUGGGAUCUAUGUUUGCUGCCAACAACAAUGCCCGCAAGGUGUCUCUACGUCAAGAAUUCAGCCGUUUUAAGAUGGUCGACGGCGAACCUCUUCCGAUGUACUUUGCGCGUGCAAGGCAGCUGCAAACAGAUUUAUUGGGAGUCGGCCACGUAGUUAACGACUCCGAGCUGGCGUACACCGUGCUAGUUGGUCUACCCAGUCGGUACAGCGUGGUGACGACUACAUUACUUAUGCGCGACGGCGAUUUGGACAUGGCGAGCGUCACAGCAAAGCUUCUCUCUAUCGAGACGGCUAACGGUGGGUCGGGCAAGCCUACCGAGUCGGCAGCCUUCGCGUCUGUCGGCGGUUCGACGUUCGGCGCUUCUACUUCUGGUUAUGGUAGCCGGGGGCCGGCUAACAACAGCUCGGGACAUAGUCGGAAGCAAGUCAUCUGCUACUACUGUAAUAAACCUGGGCACGUGGUUAAGGACUGCAGGCAGCUUAAGGCGCUGAAGCAGUCGUCAAAUUCUGGCUACAAGGGUGGCUACAGCAACAGUGGCAGCGGAGCUAGUGGCAGCGGAGCUAGUGGCAGCGGAGCUAGCGGCAACAAGCCAGGAUCCGGUGGAUCAGCUAGGAGGCCAGGAGUUCCGCGGCAGGUAGCAUUCGUGGCAUACAACAGCAAUCGUCCGACGGAAUGGUUUCUGGACUCAGCCGCCACUCACCACAUAACGUAUGACCGCUCAGAACUUUUCAACGUGCGGUUGUUGGAGCCGUGGGAGCGCUUCAACAUCAUGGGCAUCAAGGGACAAUCUCUUCGACCGACUGAAGUUGGCACGCUUACGAUUCGGUCUAACGUCAACGAUAAACAGGCCAUCAAUUUCAAGAAGGUCUACGUCGACGAGGAGGCCACCGCCAAAAUCAUAUCGGUACGCAUCAUUGAUGAUCGUGGAGGCAGUGUAGUCUUCGGCGGCGGACAGGCGAAAGUAUACGUACAGAACCAGUUGGUGCUGACUGGAAAGCGGGAUGGGGACUUGUAUCCCGUCUGCUACAGCAGUGGAGGUACGGGAGCUCUGAAGAGGACGCAGCGUGAAGACAACAGGAUACCUUCUGGUGGUGAUGCAGUGUGUGCUGCCGUGGGUAUCGGAGCUGAACGUGCAGCACUUUGGCACCGAAGGUAUGGCCACUUGGGAUACAGCAACCUUGAGACGUUGCUGUGUCAUAAUAUGGUAGCUGGAUUUGAUGUUGACCGACACAGCAUACAAUCAGCCAGCACAUGUGUGUGUGAGACUUGCGUCCUUGCUAAACAUACACGUGGUCCUUUUCCGUUAUCUGGGCAUAAGGCAGCGCAGCCUCUCGCGCUCAUUCACAUGGAUGUGUGUGGGCCUAUGCCUGAACCUUCGCCUAGUGGUUCGCGUUACGUGACAACCCUGCUUGACGACCAUACUGGUCUUUCAGCUGUUGCGUUUACAGCGACCAAGGAGGAGGUCUACCAGAAGAUGGUGGUAAUGAUAGCGGAACUGGAGCGCGCUACUGGCAGGCAGGUUAAGGAGGUGCGUACAGAUCGUGGCGGGGAGUUCGUUAAUACUCGCACGAAGGCCUAUUUCGCUUCCAGGGGUAUUCUACACGGAACUACGGUAGGCUACACCCCUGAGCAGAACGGAGCUGCAGAACGUUUAAAUCGCACUCUUUUGGACAAGACUAGGGCUAUGCUAGUUGAGUCUGGACUGCCUAAAUCAUUAUGGGCGGAGGCGUUAGCGACAGCCAACUAUCUUAGGAAUGUGUCGCCAACUGCUGGGUCAACCGUCACUCCGUAUGAAGCUUUCUUUAAUGUUCGUCCGAACGUCAGUCACCUGCGAGUCUUUGGAUGCGUUGCCUACGUCCACGUACCCGACGUCAAGCGCGACAAGUUCGACCCGGUGAGCAGGCGUGGAAUACUUGUCGGAUACGGGAACGGUGGACAGUAUCGUGUACUAUACGAGGACGGCAUUAUUGCCGUAGUUUCUAACGUUCGUUUUGACGAGUCUAAUGUCGGCCGGCGGCGUAAUGCCGGGGACUCCGAUUAUGAGUCCGAUGCCGACGAGGAGGAGGAGUUUCGCACUAGUUUAUCUGGUGAGGGAUCGCUGCCUAGGGCUGGCGAAGGGACACCAGGUAGCACCGUCGGCGAGGGAUCGCCGCAUUUGGGUGGCGAGGGGGCGCCGGCUGGGGCCAGCCCUUCUGGGUCCAGACCUUCCAGCAGUGCGAACGGGCAAGGAAUCAAUCAGCCUGAUGUGGAAAUGGCGGGAACUAGGUACCCAGUUAGAGAGCGUAAACGCCCUGGCGAAUGGUGGCGAAACGAACCUGGUCGCACUGUCACUGGUCGCGUUAACGCUGCUUUCUCUGCUGGUAUUCCUGAGCCUAAUUCGUUUGAGGAAGCAAUUGCAAGUCCACAUGCAGACGACUGGCGGCGUGCGAUGGACGAGGAGAUCGCCGCCCAGAUGGCUAAUAGUACUUGGGAGCUGAAGAAGCCACCUCCUGGUACUCGUUUGUUGCCGUGUCGUUGGGUAUAUAAGGUUAAGUACAGCGAUGACGGCAGCGUGGAGCGUUUUAAGGCGCGUUUAGUUGCCAAGGGUUUCGAGCAACGUGAGGGGAUUGAUUAUGGGGAGUUGUUUGCCCCUACCUCUCGUGGUUCGUCAUUGCGUGCUUUAUUAGCAGUUGCCGCAGCCCGGAACAUGACGGUACAUCAGCUCGAUGUGUCUACUGCGUUUCUGAAUGGUGAGCUGAAGGAGGAGUUGUGGAUGGAGCAACCGCCUGGGUAUGCAUCCAGUGACCGGUCGCUUGCGUGCAAGCUGCAGAAGUCUAUUUACGGUUUGAAGCAGGCACCCCGUUGCUGGUAUGAAAAACUAUCAGCAGAGUUCGCCAAGCUGGGUCUUUAUCCUUCGAAGUCUGAUCCAGCGAUGUUUGUUAAGACUGACGAGCGUGGGGUUGUUAUUGCUUUGGUGCACGUAGAUGACACUAUUGUUGCGUCGGAAGACCCGGAAAUGGUCCGGGCAAUUAAAGCUGCAAUUGCGAAGGUCUUCAAGGUGCGCGACCUUGGAGAAGCGAAGGUGUUUUUGGGCAUGGAAAUUAGGAGGGAGAAGUCGGGUGAAAUAGUGUUGUCGCAGCAUAGGUAUAUUUCGCAGCUAUUGGAGCGUCAUAAGUUGGUUGACGCCAAGCCGAGGUCUACUCCUUUGCCUCCGGGCUUUAGGUACACUCCUAAGGGGGACGGAGAGGAGCUGCUGGAAAAUCCCACGGGCUUUGGUGGAGGAGUUGAAUUACCUAGCGACGAACACGCGGCCUGACAUUUCGUAUGCAUUGAGCGUUUUGUCCAGGCAUAUGGCCGCACCCACGAAGUGUGCUAUGAACUUGGCUACUGCCGUUCUGCGUUACCUGGCGGGUACUCGCGAACUAGGAUUACGUUUUGAGGGUGUUGGCGACAUUGAGAUGUCCGGGUAUAGCGAUUCUGACUGGGCAGGAGACCCAGUUACGCGGCGUUCUACUUCCGGCUACGUUUUCACUCUUAAUGGGGCUGCGAUUAGCUGGAGCAGUCAACUUCAACGUUCUGUGGCGGCUUCGUCGGUGGAGGCCGAGUAUCAAGCGACAGCGGCAGCUGUUCGCGAAGCUUUGUGGCUUCGCAAGCUGAUGGUUAAUUUGGGUAUACCUGAGAGCGCUAUCAAGGUUCAAAUAGAUUCCCAGGGGGCGCUUAGCUUAGGAAAUAACCCGAUUACGUCUGCUCGGUCGAAGCACAUCGACGUACAGCAUCACAUAGUGCGUGAGAGGGUGCAUAGCGGUGAGGUGCAGUUGGAAUACUGCCCUACGGAGUGAAUGGUUGCGGAUGUGCUCACGAAGGCUCUAGGCGAGGUGAAAUUCAAACGUUGCCGAGAUGCGAUGGGCCUUGUUUGAAGUGUACAUAUGAAUUUGGUACUCGUUGGGAUACGGCCCGAGGGGGCGUGUUGAGGAAACGGUCCUCUCCUAACUCGUGUGGUUGUGGACCAGGGGAUUUGACCCCAGGUCUGCGUCUGGCUAAUGGGGAAGACUUACCCCAGAACCUUAUGGGCUACCGAUGCAUAUCCAGUAGCUAAGUGAUAGACAUUUGGGCACCGUCAGGACGGCGCAGUGAGAUCGCGGAAUGUACGUGCAGUUAGAUCGUGGAAUGUACGAGUUUUCCGCUAGCGCCAGUAUUUAGGGCGGUGACUGCGCUUAUUUGUUAUCUCACAACGAUCGGUAUUCCUCAAAGGAAUCUUCUCAAGUCCUGCCGAACGCUAAUAAUACUCUUUACAUUACUUGUAACAUUUUAUCUUGCUAAAUAUCUUCGCUGCCGGAAAUUCUUCCGAGAUAACAAUCAGCGUUAGCCGUCACCGUCGCCAAUUCUUCAAUACUGGUAUAUAAGACACAAGUUAUGCAAGUCUUGGUAUCUCAUCUUAGGAUGGAUCGAUCAAAGAAAUCUCCUAAACUCCUCUUGCCGUUCACCAUUAAUAAUCCACAGACUUUAACCCUCGCGACCAGUCUCCUUGCCUUCAUAUUCUUAACAGGUUAUGAGACCCGGCUCACGCUAGUAGAUUACAUAGCUAGCGCGAAGAAGGCAUAGGACGCCUGCAAGCAAUGACAGUCGGACUUGUUUGGGAGUAGGACACGUUAGCAGCGAUUCUGAGCGGGCACACACUUUGCUUGUUGGUUUGCCCAGCCGCUUCAGCAUGGUAACGACAUCCCUACUGGUGCGUGACGGCGAUUCGGACAUGGCUAUCGUCAACUCGAAGUUCUUGACUAUCGAGAUGGCAAGCGGUGGCUCUGGUAAGCCUACCGAGUCGGCAGCUUUUGCUUCUGUCGGCAGUUUCUCGUUUGGCGCCUCUGGUUCUGGUCUUGGGAAUCGUGGCGCGGCCAGCAGCAGUUCUGGCGUUCCUCUCCAAGAUGUGAUUUGCUUCUAUUGCAGCAAGCCUGGCCCGGUGGGUCUAGCAAGGGAUCCGUUUUCCCGAGGCAGGUUACGUUUGUAGCUUACACCAGUAAGCGGCUGAGGGAUCCCGGUCGAAUAUGGGAAUGAGUAAGCGUCUGAGGGAUCCUGGCCGAAUAUGGGAAUGGAGGACAGUAUCGUGUGUACAUCCCCAAUGUGUGCGUUGAUGAGUUUAAUGUCGGCCGGCGGCAUAAUGCUAGGAAUUCUGAUGAUGGGUCCGAUGCCGACGAGGGUUGCACACUAGUUUGCCUGGUGAGGGGUCGCUGCCUAGGGCUGGUGAAUGGAUACAAGACAAUACCGUCGGCGAGGGACCCGGCUGGGGCAGGACCUUCUAGAAGUGUGAAUGUAAUGUAAUGUAAUGUGGAAAUGUUAAGAAUAUUCACACCCUCAUGUGGAAAUGUUAAAAAUAUUCACAUUUCACACACUACGUAGUGCUGCACGUCGAUGUGUUUCGACCGAGCAGACAUAAUCGGAUGAUUUCCCAAGCUAAGCGUGUUUAGGAAACGGUCCUCUCCCAACUCGUGUGGUUGUCGACCAGGGGAUUUGACCCCGGGUCUACGCCUGACUAAUGGGGAAGACUUACCCCAGAACCUUAUGGGGCUACCGAUGCAUAUCCGGUAGCUAAGUGAUAGACAUUAGGGCACCGUCUGGACGGCGCAGUGAGAUCGCGGAAUGUACGUGCAGUUAGAUCGCGGAAUGUACGAGUUUUCCGCUAGCGCCGGUAUUUAGGGCGGUGACUGCGCCUAUUAGUUUAUCUCACAACGAUCGGUAUUCCUACUAGGAAUCUCCUCAAGUCCUGCCGAACGCUAACAAUACUCUUUACAUUACUUGUAACAGUUUAUCGUGCUAAAUAUCUUCGCCACCGGCAAUCCUUCCGAAAUAACAAUCAGCGUUAGCCGUCGCCGUCGCCAAAUCUUCAAUAGGUUAUGAGCCCCGCUUAGCGCCGACAGUUAUCGCCCAAUUGUUAUUUCUAUCCCUCAUCAACAAUGGUUAAGGACAAGCUUGAUGAGUCGCUGGAUCUCAACAACUACUCUACCUGGCAAAUUCGGUUCAGCGCGUUGUGCAUGGAGCUUGGGCUUGAGCAAUCCCUGCUCGCCGAGCCGUGCAACGAGGAGCAAAUUCGGCAGUCACGGAAGGUCAUCAAUCUGCUCAUCAAGAACGUCAAGGAUCAUCAUUUGCCGAUGGUUACCGGUGCUGCCAACGCGAAGAAGGCCUGGGACGCCUUGGGAUCUAUGUUUGCUGCCAACAACAACGCCCGCAAGGUGUCUCUACGUCAAGAAUUCAGCCGUUUUAAGAUGGUCGACGGCGAACCUCUUCCGAUGUACUUUGCGCGUGCAAGGCAGCUGCAAACAGAUUUAUUGGGAGUCGGCCACGUAGUUAACGACUCCGAGCUGGCGUACACCGUGCUAGUUGGUCUACCCAGUCGGUACAGCGUGGUGACGACUACAUUACUUAUGCGCGACGGCGAUUUGGACAUGGCGAGCGUCACAGCAAAGCUUCUCUCUAUCGAGACGGCUAACGGUGGGUCGGGCAAGCCUACCGAGUCGGCAGCCUUCGCGUCUGUCGGCGGUUCGACGUUCGGCGCUUCUACUUCUGGUUAUGGUAGCCGGGGGCCGGCUAACAACAGCUCGGGACAUAGUCGGAAGCAAGUCAUCUGCUACUACUGUAAUAAACCUGGGCACGUGGUUAAGGACUGCAGACAGCUUAAGGCGCUGAAGCAGUCGUCAAAUUCUGGCUACAAGGGUGGCUACAGCAACAGUGGUAACGGAGGUAGUGGCAGCGGAGCUAGCGGCAGCAAGCCAGGAUCCGGUGGAUCAGCUAGGAGGCCAGGAGUUCCGCGGCAGGUAGCAUUCGUGGCAUACAACAGCAGGCAGGCGGCUGGCAGAAGUUAAGGCCUGGCUUCUGCUCCCGUCGCGUCCCGGCGCGUCCGGGUUCAAAUCCGCCUGCCGACCUCUCGGGGUGUUUGAGAGGUGAUGAAAUGGGAGGUGGCCCCCCAUCUUGUGGACGGUGUAGGACGUGAUAAAAUCAACUCGCGAGCUGACCAGGAACUAAGUUGACGCGCCGUUGAUCCGCUAGAUUUGGUUGGAUGCUGGUGGUGAGUUGCCAAACUCAAAGAGUACACUCUGAAGUCGGAUGGGGUGAAUGGCUUAGGGUGCCCCUCUAGCAGGGGAGAGCAGGGAAUUGCCUCGGGAAGGAGGCCACUGGUGAAGCUUAACCACCCUGUAACAACAUCAACAGCAAUCGUCCGACGGAA